GGGGAUUUAGCUCAGUGGUAGAGCGCUUGCCUAGAAAGUGCAAGGCCCUGGGUUCAGUCCUCA
This 63-nucleotide transfer RNA is filed under the name Rattus norvegicus (Norway rat). It matches the Rfam family "tRNA". Rfam says of the family: Transfer RNA (tRNA) molecules are approximately 80 nucleotides in length. Their secondary structure includes four short double-helical elements and three loops (D, anti-codon, and T loops). Further hydrogen bonds mediate the characteristic L-shaped molecular structure. tRNAs have two regions of fundamental functional importance: the anti-codon, which is responsible for specific mRNA codon recognition, and the 3' end, to which the tRNAs corresponding amino acid is attached (by aminoacyl-tRNA synthetases). tRNAs cope with the degeneracy of the genetic code in two manners: having more than one tRNA (with a specific anti-codon) for a particular amino acid; and 'wobble' base-pairing, i.e. permitting non-standard base-pairing at the 3rd anti-codon position. Lineage: Eukaryota; Metazoa; Chordata; Mammalia; Rodentia; Muridae. The record is from Rfam by way of RNAcentral.